RNAcentral lists this ribosomal RNA (2343 nucleotides) under Staphylococcus aureus. Its description in RNAcentral is "partial 23S ribosomal RNA". It matches the Rfam family "Bacterial large subunit ribosomal RNA", at positions 444 to 2791 of the family's 2925-position model. The record is from RNAcentral. Lineage: Bacteria; Bacillati; Bacillota; Bacilli; Caryophanales; Staphylococcaceae.
CUGGGAGGACCAUCUCCUAAGGCUAAAUACUCUCUAGUGACCGAUAGUGAACCAGUACCGUGAGGGAAAGGUGAAAAGCACCCCGGAAGGGGAGUGAAAUAGAACCUGAAACCGUGUGCUUACAAGUAGUCAGAGCCCGUUAAUGGGUGAUGGCGUGCCUUUUGUAGAAUGAACCGGCGAGUUACGAUUUGAUGCAAGGUUAAGCAGUAAAUGUGGAGCCGUAGCGAAAGCGAGUCUGAAUAGGGCGUUUAGUAUUUGGUCGUAGACCCGAAACCAGGUGAUCUACCCUUGGUCAGGUUGAAGUUCAGGUAACACUGAAUGGAGGACCGAACCGACUUACGUUGAAAAGUGAGCGGAUGAACUGAGGGUAGCGGAGAAAUUCCAAUCGAACCUGGAGAUAGCUGGUUCUCUCCGAAAUAGCUUUAGGGCUAGCCUCAAGUGAUGAUUAUUGGAGGUAGAGCACUGUUUGGACGAGGGGCCCCUCUCGGGUUACCGAAUUCAGACAAACUCCGAAUGCCAAUUAAUUUAACUUGGGAGUCAGAACAUGGGUGAUAAGGUCCGUGUUCGAAAGGGAAACAGCCCAGACCACCAGCUAAGGUCCCAAAAUAUAUGUUAAGUGGAAAAGGAUGUGGCGUUGCCCAGACAACUAGGAUGUUGGCUUAGAAGCAGCCAUCAUUUAAAGAGUGCGUAAUAGCUCACUAGUCGAGUGACACUGCGCCGAAAAUGUACCGGGGCUAAACAUAUUACCGAAGCUGUGGAUUGUCCUUUGGACAAUGGUAGGAGAGCGUUCUAAGGGCGUUGAAGCAUGAUCGUAAGGACAUGUGGAGCGCUUAGAAGUGAGAAUGCCGGUGUGAGUAGCGAAAGACGGGUGAGAAUCCCGUCCACCGAUUGACUAAGGUUUCCAGAGGAAGGCUCGUCCGCUCUGGGUUAGUCGGGUCCUAAGCUGAGGCCGACAGGCGUAGGCGAUGGAUAACAGGUUGAUAUUCCUGUACCACCUAUAAUCGUUUUAAUCGAUGGGGGGACGCAGUAGAAUAGGCGAAGCGUGCGAUUGGAUUGCACGUCUAAGCAGUAAGGCUGAGUAUUAGGCAAAUCCGGUACUCGUUAAGGCUGAGCUGUGAUGGGGAGAAGACAUUGUGUCUUCGAGUCGUUGAUUUCACACUGCCGAGAAAAGCCUCUAGAUAGAAAAUAGGUGCCCGUACCGCAAACCGACACAGGUAGUCAAGAUGAGAAUUCUAAGGUGAGCGAGCGAACUCUCGUUAAGGAACUCGGCAAAAUGACCCCGUAACUUCGGGAGAAGGGGUGCUCUUUAGGGUUAACGCCCAGAAGAGCCGCAGUGAAUAGGCCCAAGCGACUGUUUAUCAAAAACACAGGUCUCUGCUAAACCGUAAGGUGAUGUAUAGGGGCUGACGCCUGCCCGGUGCUGGAAGGUUAAGAGGAGUGGUUAGCUUCUGCGAAGCUACGAAUCGAAGCCCCAGUAAACGGCGGCCGUAACUAUAACGGUCCUAAGGUAGCGAAAUUCCUUGUCGGGUAAGUUCCGACCCGCACGAAAGGCGUAACGAUUUGGGCACUGUCUCAACGAGAGACUCGGUGAAAUCAUAGUACCUGUGAAGAUGCAGGUUACCCGCGACAGGACGGAAAGACCCCGUGGAGCUUUACUGUAGCCUGAUAUUGAAAUUCGGCACAGCUUGUACAGGAUAGGUAGGAGCCUUUGAAACGUGAGCGCUAGCUUACGUGGAGGCGCUGGUGGGAUACUACCCUAGCUGUGUUGGCUUUCUAACCCGCACCACUUAUCGUGGUGGGAGACAGUGUCAGGCGGGCAGUUUGACUGGGGCGGUCGCCUCCUAAAAGGUAACGGAGGCGCUCAAAGGUUCCCUCAGAAUGGUUGGAAAUCAUUCAUAGAGUGUAAAGGCAUAAGGGAGCUUGACUGCGAGACCUACAAGUCGAGCAGGGUCGAAAGACGGACUUAGUGAUCCGGUGGUUCCGCAUGGAAGGGCCAUCGCUCAACGGAUAAAAGCUACCCCGGGGAUAACAGGCUUAUCUCCCCCAAGAGUUCACAUCGACGGGGAGGUUUGGCACCUCGAUGUCGGCUCAUCGCAUCCUGGGGCUGUAGUCGGUCCCAAGGGUUGGGCUGUUCGCCCAUUAAAGCGGUACGCGAGCUGGGUUCAGAACGUCGUGAGACAGUUCGGUCCCUAUCCGUCGUGGGCGUAGGAAAUUUGAGAGGAGCUGUCCUUAGUACGAGAGGACCGGGAUGGACAUACCUCUGGUGUACCAGUUGUCGUGCCAACGGCAUAGCUGGGUAGCUAUGUGUGGACGGGAUAAGUGCUGAAAGCAUCUAAGCAUGAA